AAAAUCUAUCAGUGUUUUUUCCUCCUUUUUUUUCUUUUAUAUAUUGAACAAGUUUUAGGAAAUGCUGUUUUACUUACUAGCAAUAAUAACCCUACACACCAUCAACACGGACAUACAGGAAGCAAGCCAAAAGUUGAUGUACAUAGUUUAAUUAAAGAUCUUAUAGCAAAGGAAGAUGAAGUGGCUGAUUUAGAGAAAUCAAAUUUAAAAUGUAAAAUUAUUGCUACGGUUUUGGGAAUACUAGCUACUAUUGCAUCAGUCGUUGCUGGUGUUCUGGCAUAUAAAUGUGCCUUUAAAAAAGGAGAGAGACAAUAUAAAAGCGGUUUUGAUGGUACUAAUGAUGAUGGUGGUAGUGGUGAUGGUGUUGGAGGUGGUAGUGGUGAUGGCAGUGGUAGCAGUGGUAGUGGUGGAGAUAACAUAACUCCACUAUUGUCAGAUAAAUGAUGUAAAAUAUGUGCUGAUACAAAGAUAAACACUGAUAGGAAUAAUUUAGGAAAUAGGACCUUUAAUUUAUAUAACUUGGCUACCUACAAAGUAUAUUUUAUAUUAAUUGUUAGGUUUUCAAACACGCCAGUAUAUAUUUUUUUAUUAUUAAUAUAAAGAAAUGUUGCAUGUACAUAUAUAUAAGCACUUAUUUUGUAAAAGUUACUGCUUCUUUUAAGAUAAUAAUGUGUUUUUUUUUUUUUUUUUAUAAUAAUUUUUUUUUUUUUUUUAUAUUGUACUAAUGAAAUGUAUUUGGUUGUAGUGAUUUUAACGGUAUAUAUACAUAUAUUCAUUUAUUUAUUGUUAUUUUUUUUUUUUCUAUAUUUAUUUUUACUUAUCUAGUAAUUUUUUUUAAUUUUAAUUAAUUUUUAUAUUGAUUUUUUUAUAUACUACUAUUAUUAUUAUUACUAUUAUUAUUUUAUUUGAUAUUUCUUUUAAUUUUAAUUUUUGGCAUAUUUUACUAUUUAAAAGGAUUUUUAUUUUAUAUAAAACUGUUUGAUGGGUAGUGUUUCUCUUCUUUUAUUAAUUUUUAUUUAUUAAGAAUUAUAUUAAAUGAUAUGUAAAAAAAAAUAAAAAAAAUAAAAUUCAGUUUUUUUUCUUCUUU
Molecule: long non-coding RNA, 1087 nt
Filed under: Piliocolobus tephrosceles (Ugandan red Colobus)
Lineage: Eukaryota; Metazoa; Chordata; Mammalia; Primates; Cercopithecidae
Description: lncRNA (ENSPTEG00000026563.1)
Source: RNAcentral